GAUGAACGCUGGCGGCGUGCCUAAUACAUGCAAGUCGAGCGAACAGACGAGGAGCUUGCUCCUCUGACGUUAGCGGCGGACGGGUGAGUAACACGUGGAUAACCUACCUAUAAGACUGGGAUAACUUCGGGAAACCGGAGCUAAUACCGGAUAAUAUAUUGAACCGCAUGGUUCAAUAGUGAAAGACGGUUUUGCUGUCACUUAUAGAUGGAUCCGCGCCGCAUUAGCUAGUUGGUAAGGUAACGGCUUACAAAGGCGACGAUGCGUAGCCGACCUGAGAGGGUGAUCGGCCACACUGGAACUGAGACACGGUCCAGACUCCUACGGGAGGCAGCAGUAGGGAAUCUUCCGCAAUGGGCGAAAGCCUGACGGAGCAACGCCGCGUGAGUGAUGAAGGUCUUCGGAUCGUAAAACUCUGUUAUUAGGGAAGAACAAAUGUGUAAGUAACUAUGCACGUCUUGACGGUACCUAAUCAGAAAGCCACGGCUAACUACGUG
RNAcentral lists this ribosomal RNA (497 nucleotides) under uncultured bacterium. Its description in RNAcentral is "partial 16S ribosomal RNA". It matches the Rfam family "Bacterial small subunit ribosomal RNA", at positions 28 to 507 of the family's 1533-position model. The record is from RNAcentral.